UGGGGAAUAUUGGACAAUGGGCGCAAGCCUGAUCCAGCAAUGCCGCGUGUGUGAAGAAGGCCUGCGGGUUGUAAAGCACUUUCGGUGGGGAGGAAGGCCUAAGUUUUAAUAGAGCUUAGGAUUGACGUUACCCACAGAAGAAGCACCGGCUAACUCUGUGCCAGCAGCCGCGGUAAUACAGAGGGUGCGAGCGUUAAUCGGAAUUACUGGGCGUAAAGGGUGCGUAGGUGGUUAAUUAAGUUAGAUGUGAAAUCCCUGGGCUUAACCUAGGAAUUGCAUUUAAGACUGAUUAGCUAGAGUUUGGGAGAGGGAAGUGGAAUUUCCGGUGUAGCGGUGAAAUGCGUAGAUAUCGGAAGGAACACCAGUGGCGAAGGCGGCUUCCUGGCCCGAUACUGACACUGAGGCACGAAAGCGUGGGGAGCGAACAGG
RNAcentral lists this ribosomal RNA (429 nucleotides) under uncultured bacterium. Its description in RNAcentral is "bacterial SSU rRNA". It matches the Rfam family "Bacterial small subunit ribosomal RNA", at positions 355 to 776 of the family's 1533-position model. The record is from RNAcentral.